UCCUUGGUGGUCCAGUGGUUAAGACUUGGCCCUUUCACUGCCAGGGCCCAGGUCCAAAUCCUGGUAGGGGAA
Bos taurus (domestic cattle) is the source of this 72-nucleotide non-coding RNA. The record is from Rfam. NCBI's taxonomy places the organism in Eukaryota, Metazoa, Chordata, Mammalia, Artiodactyla, Bovidae.